UACAGGCUAAGCAAUAACAGGUCAUCAUCCUAGCUAAUUGUUAUGUCUUCAAGUCCGAUACCCUGUGCCCGAGGGAAACAGACUUUGUGUUGCAAGCUCUGAACUACUAGAGCAGUAGUGCUAGUGCAGAAACCGGUAGUACUCCCUCGGUCCCAAAAUAUAAAAAUGUUUUUAACACUAGCAUGGUGUCAAAAACGUUCUUAUAUUCCGUGACAGAGGGAGUAUUUCACAGGUCAAUGCGAGCGGAGCACGACGGGGACAUGCCACUGCACACCACUGCCAAGUCAAAUUCCAG
This 295-nucleotide long non-coding RNA is filed under the name Triticum aestivum (bread wheat). RNAcentral's name for it is "long non-coding RNA (TAES_LNC010870)". The record is from RNAcentral. Lineage: Eukaryota; Viridiplantae; Streptophyta; Magnoliopsida; Poales; Poaceae.